Solea solea (common sole) is the source of this 5123-nucleotide long non-coding RNA. RefSeq lists it as uncharacterized. Lineage: Eukaryota; Metazoa; Chordata; Actinopteri; Pleuronectiformes; Soleidae. The transcript has 2 exons. The record is from RefSeq and is a predicted model, not a curated record.
UAUAUAUGUGUAUAUAUAUAUAUAUAUAUACUUACAUAUAUAUAUACCCACCCAAAAGUGACAGUAUGGCAGAAAAACACGGACGCUCAUAAACGGACCCACUUGACUUAAAAAAAUCUCGGCUGUCGAGUGAAGACGGUGUAACCAGUUGACCUAUCAUGUCAGAAAUGGACCUCACAGGUGAAAGAAUACAAUCCCAGGACGUUCACUCUGUGAGCGAUGACGCCACAGAGGAGACAUUUGGCACCGCUUGAGAAAACAUUUUUAUGUCUUGUUAGCAGCUCUGCAGCCAUUGAAGUGAGAUGUAAUCAGAUGAUUUCUCUCUGAACCCGGUCAUAUACUACACACCUGCAGUGCUGGGAACUCUACUACUAAGAUCCAUUAGUACAAUGAAAACCCGGCGAUCGUGAUGACACAUCUAGAUUCACGGUCCACUCCAGCUUUCUCUCUCUCCUGUCAUUUUACAAAAAAAGAAAUCACUCCGGCUCUGAUGACCAGACUUGGACUCAAUUGAUGGAUGUUCGGACUUUACAAAGUCAUCGCAGACUGGACCUCUUACCGUCGUAUGAGACUUGUAGCAAACCUAAACAACAGCAAAUCCCGCCAGGAUCAUUUGGAUAUAACACUCCAACAACACACACAGGGACACUGUGGCAUCAGAGCAUCAUGUUUUAAACCUUGUACAUGUAAGAAAACCUGGUCUAUCCUCCAGAGUCUGUGUGUGCAGCAGGCGAAAAGUGCCUGUCUGUUUCGUAUUAUGAGCUAUUUCUUCACUGAGCUUGGGUUCAUCCACAAACCAGGCUGUCGAUCUGAUUCGGAUCUGACGGGGGGACCAUUUCAUAUUGAUUGCAAAGUUAACCUCAAAGCCCAUCUGCAGAUUUUGCUUGGCAUUGAACAGAGAUGCAACGUUUUCACACUGUAUCAUAACAUCUGGAAUCGAACUGACAUAGUCAAGAAGGGUUUAUCACUGCAUCUCUUCAAUCGAUGCCUUUUAUUUGACUACAUUUGAACAGAAGUUGAAAGGAACUCGGUGUGUCCAAACAUGUCAAUGGAAACACUGAGUCAAUGCAUUCCUUUUAUUGUGAAAACUUUUUUUUUAUGUAUUGUUUGUGUGCACAUUAAGGCUUCACUUCUCAGCUCCCUGGUGCACCAAUACGACGUUACUAGGUGGAGUAAAUACGCAGCUUUCACGUCAUUAUUUCUCUCUCCCCUCGUGUAGAACUGCCCUUGUAAUUUAAGUGCUACUUUUAAAAUUGUAGUGCGAUCACAAAAUCCCGGCAAAGAAGCAGCUAAGAGGCUGUUGACUGAGUACCGAAGGUUUUUUUUUUUUUUUUCUUAACUCACUCUAAGAACUUGUUUCAUUCAGUGUUUAAUUUACUAAUCUGAUGUUUACAACCUUGACUCAAACAGAGUUGUUUUACUAAAUUAAAUACGUGAAUCUUCAGUGACCACACAUUCAUAAUUGUCAACAUAAUGGAUUUUGAAUUACGUGUUUUUCAUGUAUGCUUUUGUUCGCCAUGUGAUUGUCUUUGUAAACAAUCUUAACAAGAUACAAAGUGCCUGUCAGACCAAAACUGGACUCCAUAAGAAAAACACACCAACAAACCCAGCAGGCCCUUUUUUUCUUUUCUUUUCUUUUGUCUUUAAAUGGGCAAGAUUGUUUUUCUGCACAUAAUUAUGACCAGGCUGUUUUACAGCUACAGUUCAGUACUGUACCACAGCGGAGGAAGGACAAAAUGGUUUAUAGGAAUAGGGCAAGUCAUUUUUUUUAUACCACGGGUUAUUGUAUUUCUGAAAAAAGUAAAUUAUUUUUGUUUAUUUUUAGUUUUUUAUAUGGAUGUUUUUAAUGAUUAUUAGCCUUUCCUUCUAUUCAGUUAUUAUGGUGCUACUUAGGAGUAAGUUUGCUGUGGACUUUGCUGCCUUUAACAAGGCAUCAACCAAUCAAUCCGUUCAUCUAUUUAAAUGUCUCGUGCACAGUUUUGUGUAUGACCAGCAAAUGAGUGUAUCUCUCUGUCUGUACACACACACACGUUUUAGUGACUCAGCAGUUUAAAAAUAGGGCAUUACUGUAACGGUGCAUGUGUUUAGAUAAUACACUGAGGAAAACCCACAGUCUAAAUGCUGCCGUCUCUCUCUCUCUCUCUCUCCACUCCAGCCCUCACUGCUGGUACAAAACCAACUGUAUGAAACCAGUGUCUGCUUCAGAGGCUCCAAAAAUAGACUGCUUGAUUUCUGACCACAGUUCUACUGCGGUUAGUUUCAAAUCUGAUCGGUUUGAGACCACAGGAAUAACACAGUGUAACCUCAUUAAAGUGUCCCAAAAUAAAAGAAAAAGCACAGGUAGUGAGACUGACCACACAUCCAUUCCUCUCUUUUUAAUUGUGUAACUUAAUUUGAAACCACAUCUGAAUUUCAUACCAUUAUGUUAUGUAUUUAACGUCACAGAAAUAGGGAAAUAAUACAAAUGUCGGUUUCAGUGAUAAAGUGACAAUGUUUAAUCUCAUUUUUGAGCUUGAACUGCUUAAACAAGGUAGCUGGUUCCAUUAGCUGCGGCAGCUACACCUACAUCUUCUCUUUUUGGAGCAAUGUAAGGAUGCUUUUAAUGAAAUAUUGACUGUAAUCAGUGUUUUGAGAAUUAUGAGAGCCCAUUGAAGUUGCUCUGAAAAGUUUGUUAUUGGUCGUGUUAGGGCUGCAACUAAAAGUUAUUUUCAUUAUUGACUCAUCUGUUGUAUUUAUAUUAUUUCUUUCUCAACUAAUUUAUAAGGUUGGCUAUAAAAAUUGAAGGAAAAUAACGAGAAGUGUGUGUUUUUAUUUUUAAGAUGAAGUCAUCGAAUAUUUUUGUUUAGUCCAAAAACCAAAACCAGAAAACUGCAGAUUUUAUUUUUUAAAAACAGCACUUUUGUGUUUAAUCAAAUCAUUAAGUGUCGGCUCAUUCAAUAAUUGAGUAAUCAGUCAAUUGUUGCAGCCUUAGCUUCAGCUGUCAUCCUUGCACAUGCAUGUCUCCUCUAGCCAAGACACAAAAAGAUAACUACACAUUUCCUACUUUGGACAAAUACUAGCUGUUGAUUGUUGCCCGUCAGCUGGACGUCUCUGCUGCCGACAUCUUUGCCAAAAAAAUCUGUGUAAGCAGCAAAAAGAUUGCGACCAUCCCCAGGUCCCUGCAGAAGUCCUGUCUGCCGUGACCACAGUGCAGUAAUGAUUCAGUCGUCCCACAGUCUCUCAGCCACGACACACUCCGGUGAAUAAUCUGAAACCAACCACAAAGGAACCUUUACUACACCCUAACAUUAGCUUUGGCACCGCUUCUGCUUUUUGGAUACUCUCCAUAAUUCUAUAUAGGAUAUUUAAAUGUUUAAAACGGGAGGACAAAAUAUUAAAUCUUUGCAACUCCUUCAAAACAAAAGCACAAUUAUGAAAUGAAUAGACUUUUGCUGAGGUUUUGGCAUUGUGUACAAAUGAAUAAAUACUUUGAUAAUCCACAGUUUUCAUACAAGAAAAAAAAAAAAAGCAUCGACACAAAACUGGUAUUUUAUAUUUAGUGACUUAAUGCAAAUCUAAAAAUGCCCACCUCAUUGACGUGGAUGAAAGUUAAACAGAUUCUGUUCUACCUCGUAUAUAUUUAUUAAUAUACUCUGAGAUGUGUCGUUGAAGGACACAGAACCUACAGAACCUACAGAACCUGCAUGUAUGUUUGAUGUAACUACGACCGGUCAUCUGAAAACAGUCCUGUUGUCAUUUAGUCUUGCUGUCAAGGUCAUUUUAGUGCCUUUACUCUACUGCAUGACAAUGGCAACUUCCAGAUUGUACUUACCCAUAAAAACUGUCUCCGCUUGUUGUCUUGCAGUAGGUGCAGACUUGAUUUGUGUUUACAUAAAAGAUCUGCAGUUUAUCCACUGGACACAUUAUGACGGACCAUAUGUUGCUGCUGUGUCAAGAGUGCAGUUUGCCUUAGAGACUUCAGCGUGAGCAGGCUUAUUCAAGGGUGGCAAUUUGGAGUCGAGCAUCAACUCAUGUUUGGAUAAUAUGGGACAUAUAAAUCGAUAGAGGAUCCCAGGAAGUGUCCAGGUUGUGGAUAAAACUGUUCUGCGGCAUUGAGUGAGGAUUAAAGGUCCAGUGUGUAACUUUUAGGAACGUUUAUUGGCAGUGGUUUUUAGAAGUGUGUAAUCACUUAAAGAAUAAAAGUCAUUUGGUUUCCGUAGCCUUAGAGUAGGUCUUUAAUACAUACUUGAAGUAAGGGCCUUGCUUUAAAGAGGCGACCAUCUUGCGUCGCCAUGUUUCUACGUUAAAUAAUACAACCUAUCUGUGCAACAAUAUUUGAUUUAUUAUUACCUCAGAUAUACUGGUAUUUGUGUCGACCCGGAUACAUUUUUCUAUCCAGACAUAAAAUGGCAAACUCUUCUCAGACUCUGAUGUCAUUGGUCGCCGUCGUCAGGUGCCACACUUGCUCCUCCCCCUCAGGUUCUAAGUACUAGUCAUUGCAGCUAAUAACUGUUUUACAGGUCACCAUGGGUCUCGAUGUUCCCCAUGUGUCUUUUUGAGAAAUAUUUUUUUUCCAUACCAUUCAUAUUCAUCAUGUACAUUAAUUCUUAGCUGGUGAUAAUGCUAGAGCCUGUAUAUUUGCUUUAUAUGACAUACUAAGAGAUACUUAAGUAAAUAAAUAAAUAAAGCGUGAGUCUUGAAUAAAAGGAUAAUGCAAUGAAAGCUAAACAAAGUGAGUACACAGAGUGGACGUUUUACGCUUUGUGUUGAAACUGGAAAAGAAAGGAAAGGUGUGUGCUCUCUCUGUCCUUUUAUUUCUUUGAGAACAGCUGAAUGUCAACAGCCGAUCUGACACUCUGACGGGUCGCUGUGUGAAGUAUGUAGCUCUCUCCCCUUAUAGACCAACAACACUUGAGCAUUUCCUCUGUACAUAACUGUCGGUGCAUUUUGAUGCUGAUGGAUAAAAAAAUAAAUAAAUAGCAGCACAUGGAAAAAGAAGUUGAAUGAGAACCUUCGGUCCAAGCAGAUUUUUGAAGGGUAAAGGGGAUUUUUUUGUUUUUGCAACAAAUGUAGCUUGCAAAUACAAUACUGAAAUGCCUCCUGUUUGUCUUAGAAUUCACAAAUAAAUGUUUGUUGGAAUUUCA